GACGAACGCUGGCGGCGUGCUUAACACAUGCAAGUCGAACGGAAAGGCCCUGCUUUUGUGGGGUGCUCGAGUGGCGAACGGGUGAGUAACACGUGAGUAACCUGCCCUUGACUUUGGGGUAACUUCAGGAAACUGGGGCUAAUACCGGAUAGGAGCUCCUGCUGCAUGGUGGGGGUUGGAAAGUUUCGGCGGUUGGGGAUGGACUCGCGGCUUAUCAGCUUGUUGGUGGGGUAGUGGCUUACCAAGGCUUUGACGGGUAGCCGGCCUGGGAGGGUGACCGGCCCCAUUGGGACUGAGAUACGGCCCAGACUCCUACGGGAGGCAGAAGUGGGGAAGAUUGCACAAUGGGCGGAAGCCUGAUGCAGCAACGCCGCGUGCGGGAUGACGGCCUUCGGGUUGUAAACCGCUUUCGCCUGUGACGAAGCGUGAGUGACGGUAAUGGGUAAAGAAGCACCGGCUAACUACGUG
RNAcentral lists this ribosomal RNA (468 nucleotides) under uncultured bacterium. RNAcentral's name for it is "partial 16S ribosomal RNA". It matches the Rfam family "Bacterial small subunit ribosomal RNA", at positions 28 to 507 of the family's 1533-position model. The record is from RNAcentral.